GUGAGAAUGCCAGAAUUUAUGGAGGUGAUUUAGGUUCAUUUUAUGAUGUUUAUCUUCUCAUU
This 62-nucleotide transfer RNA is filed under the name Dipylidium caninum. RNAcentral describes it as "tRNA-Leu". The record is from RNAcentral. Lineage: Eukaryota; Metazoa; Platyhelminthes; Cestoda; Cyclophyllidea; Dipylidiidae.